Non-coding RNA from Hydrogenophaga sp. PBC, 54 nucleotides. Lineage: Bacteria; Pseudomonadati; Pseudomonadota; Betaproteobacteria; Burkholderiales; Comamonadaceae. The record is from Rfam.
GCUCAGAGUAGAAGCGUUCAGCCCGCGUCACGCGAGCAGGAAAUUGCUCUUGAG